This 253-nucleotide ribosomal RNA is filed under the name uncultured bacterium. RNAcentral's name for it is "partial 16S ribosomal RNA". It matches the Rfam family "Bacterial small subunit ribosomal RNA", at positions 524 to 776 of the family's 1533-position model. The record is from RNAcentral.
GACGAAGGAUGCAAGCGUUAUCCGGAUUCAUUGGGUUUAAAGGGAGCGUAGGUGGCCUUAUAAGUCAGUGGUGAAAUCUCUGGGCUUAACCCAGAAAUUGCCAUUGAUACUGUAGGGCUUGAGUACAGUUGCUGUGGGCGGAAUAUGACAUGUAGUGGUGAAAUACAUAGAGAUGCCAUAGAACACCGAUUGCGAAGGCAGCUCACAAAACUGUAACUGACACUGAGGCUCGAAAGUGCGGGGAUCAAACAGG